GACGAACGCUGGCGGCGUGCUUAACACAUGCAAGUCGAACGGAAAGGCCCUGCUUUUGUGGGGUGCUCGAGUGGCGAACGGGUGAGUAACACGUGAGUAACCUGCCCUUGACUUUGGGAUAACUUCAGGAAACUGGGGCUAAUACCGGAUAGGAGCUCCUGCUGCAUGGUGGGGGUUGGAAAGUUUCGGCGGUUGGGGAUGGAUUCGCGGCUUAUCAGCUUGUUGGUGGGGUAGUGGCUUACCAAGGCUUUGACGGGUAGCCGGCCUGGGAGGGUGACCGGCCACAUGGGGACUGAGAUACGGCCCAGACUCCUACGGGAGGCAGCAGUGGGGAAUAUUGCACAAUGGGCGGAAGCCUGAUGCAGCAACGCCGCGUGCGGGAUGACGGCCUUCGGGUUGUAAACCGCUUUCGCCUGUGACGAAGCGUGAGUGACGGUAAUGGGUAAAGAAGCACCGGCUAACUACGUG
This 468-nucleotide ribosomal RNA is filed under the name uncultured bacterium. RNAcentral's name for it is "partial 16S ribosomal RNA". It matches the Rfam family "Bacterial small subunit ribosomal RNA", at positions 28 to 507 of the family's 1533-position model. The record is from RNAcentral.